GAUGAACGCUGGCGGCGUGCCUAAUACAUGCAAGUCGAACGCACAGCGAAAGGUGCUUGCACCUUUCAAGUGAGUGGCGAACGGGUGAGUAACACGUGGACAACCUGCCUCAAGGCUGGGGAUAACAUUUGGAAACAGAUGCUAAUACCGAAUAAAACUCAGUGUCGCAUGACACAAAGUUAAAAGGCGCUUUGGCGUCACCUAGAGAUGGAUCCGCGGUGCAUUAGUUAGUUGGUGGGGUAAAGGCCUACCAAGACAAAGAUGCAUAGCCGAAUUGAGAGACUGAUCGGCCACAUUGGGACUGAGACACGGCCCAAACUCCUACGGGAGGCUGCAGUAGGGAAUCUUCCACAAUGGGCGAAAGCCUGAUGGAGCAAAGCCGCGUGUGUGAUGAAGGCUUUCGGGUCGUAAAGCACUGUUGUAUGGGAAGAACAGCUAGAAUAGGGAAUGAUUUUAGUUUGACGGUACCAUACCAGAAAGGGACGGCUAAAUACGUGCCAGCCGCCGCCGUAA
Molecule: ribosomal RNA, 513 nt
Filed under: uncultured bacterium
Lineage: Bacteria
Description: partial 16S ribosomal RNA
Rfam family: Bacterial small subunit ribosomal RNA
Source: RNAcentral